CAGGACUCGCAAGACUCCUACAACCCUGUGAACUUAACUAUAAGCACGUUGCUUCGGCGGGUGUCUCGGCGAGGCUCCUCCCUCCCCGGGGCGCUAAGCCCGCCGGCAGCCUACUAUACUCUGUCUCUUUGCGUUGGCAUCUCGAGUACAAUCAAACAAGUUA
This 163-nucleotide unclassified non-coding RNA is filed under the name soil metagenome. RNAcentral's name for it is "partial internal transcribed spacer 1". The record is from RNAcentral.